UACGUAGGGUGCGAGCGUUAAUCGGAAUUACUGGGCGUAAAGCGUGCGCAGGCGGUCUGUUAAGACCGAUGUGAAAUCCCCGGGCUUAACCUGGGAACUGCAUUGGUGACUGGCAGGCUUUGAGUGUGGCAGAGGGAGGUGGAAUUCCACGUGUAGCAGUGAAAUGCGUAGAGAUGUGGAGGAACACCGAUGGCGAAGGCAGCCUCCUGGGCCAGCACUGACGCUCAUGCACGAAAGCGUGGGGAGCAAACAGG
This 254-nucleotide ribosomal RNA is filed under the name uncultured bacterium. RNAcentral's name for it is "partial 16S ribosomal RNA". It matches the Rfam family "Bacterial small subunit ribosomal RNA", at positions 524 to 776 of the family's 1533-position model. The record is from RNAcentral.